RNAcentral lists this non-coding RNA (220 nucleotides) under uncultured Ruminococcus sp. RNAcentral's name for it is "malK-I RNA". It matches the Rfam family "malK-I RNA". The record is from RNAcentral. Lineage: Bacteria; Bacillati; Bacillota; Clostridia; Eubacteriales; Oscillospiraceae.
GCGCUUGCUCACUCCACACUAUGAGCGGCGUACAUCCUAAAGGAGGUACUGUCAACCCGUCAGGCUUACGGUGCGGCAGCGUGGAGACCUGUCGUAUAUGCGGAGCAAUACAUUAUAUAGUCAUUGUCAGGCUAUAAACAGCCGCGGCAAUCUCAACCUUAUUAUGCUGUUGCCCGUGAGGCGGUAUCACGGAGGUUUUACCGUCAGAGCCGAUUUUAUG